AAAACGACUCUCGGCAACGGAUAUCUCGGCUCUCGCAUCGAUGAAAGAACGUAGCGAAAUGCGAUACUUGGUGUGAAAUUGCAGAAUCCCGCGAACCAUCGAGUCUUUGAACGCAAGUUGCGCCCGAAGCCUUUAGGCCGAGGGCACGUCUGCCUGGGCGUCACGC
Molecule: ribosomal RNA, 166 nt
Filed under: Coffea liberica var. dewevrei
Lineage: Eukaryota; Viridiplantae; Streptophyta; Magnoliopsida; Gentianales; Rubiaceae
Description: 5.8S ribosomal RNA
Rfam family: 5.8S ribosomal RNA
About the family: 5.8S ribosomal RNA (5.8S rRNA) is a component of the large subunit of the eukaryotic ribosome.
Source: RNAcentral